Molecule: long non-coding RNA, 4179 nt
Filed under: Homo sapiens (human)
Lineage: Eukaryota; Metazoa; Chordata; Mammalia; Primates; Hominidae
Description: HSALNT0398128
Source: RNAcentral
AAAAACAAACUAUGUCAUAAGGCCAGAAUAACUGUGAUAUCAAAACCAGAUGAGGAUAUUACAUAAAAGGAAAAUUACAAUAUAUCUGUUUCAUGAACACAGACGCAAGCAUAUUAAACCAAAUAUUAGCAAAGAGAAACCAGUAACAUAUUGACCAAGAGAGCUUUAUUUUAGAAAUUCAAAGGCCAUUUAAUUUAAUUUUUUACCAUAACCUCAAACAAGUAUAAGUUUAAUUUUUAAAAAAUCAAUGUAAUCUUUCAAUGUUAACUAAUAAAGGAGAAAACCAUUCAAUUAUUUCAUUAGAAAUAAUCCAUUUAACAAUAUACAACAUUAAUCAUGAUAAAAAUUCUCAGCAAACCAGGACUAGAGGGGAACUUCUUUCAUCUGAUAAAGGGGACCUAAAGAAUAAAAACUACAACUACCAUUGUACAUAAAGGGAUCAUUAUACAUAAUAUGGACCACUGUCUUUCUGAUUUCAGGAACAAGGUAAGGUUGUCUACUCUUACAUGUCUUUUCAAUUUUGUAGUAGAAGACCUAUCCAAUAUUAUAAGGAAAAAAUAAAAGGUGUAAAUGGAAGGAAGUAAAAUGAUCUUUAUUUGCAGAUAGUGUAGAUUACAUGAUUAUGUACAUAAAAAUAUUUUUUAAUUCCACAAGCUUUAAAUUAAAUAAUUUAUUGCUGAAUAAAGGGUAAAAGUAUAAAACAAUUAUAUUAAAGCAAAGCUACUGAAAAAUAAAAUUUUUAAAACCUUAACAGUUUGUAAAAACAUAAAAAAUGUAAAACAGGAAUAAAUUUAACAGAUGUGCAAGACCUUUAGACAGGAAACAACAAAACCUUAAGGAAAGAAAUUAAAGAUGAAUUCAAUAAAUGGAAAUGUAUUCCAUGUUCAUGAACUGUAAGACUCAAUUUUGAGAUAAUUCUCUCUAAAUUUAUCUACUGAUUCAAUGUACUGCCAACAAAAUGUCAGCAGGGCGUUUUGUUUGUUUUGAGAAAAUUAAUUAACUCAUUCUAAAAUUAUAGAGCAAUGCAAAGAACCUGGAAUAGACAAAGUGAUUUUGAAGAACAAAGUUGUUCUUCAACUUAUAUUACCAGAUUAUCAAGAUAUAAUAUAAAGCUACAGGAAUUAAAAUGGAGGUGCUGGCACAAAGAUUGACAAAGAGGACCAACGGAAAAGUAGAAAGACUCCUGCACAUAUAUGGGCCCAUGCUUUACAGUAAAAGUCUGACUGCAGCUUAAGAGAAGGCCAGUGUUUUUAACAAACGGUGCCAGUGCACUUGGAUAUCUGUAUGAAAAAAAUGAUUUUGAACUUCAUCCCACUACAUACACAGAUAUAAAUUCAAGAUGGAUCAUAGGUCUAAGUGUGAAAACAAACAAUAAAGAUUCUGGAGGAAGAAACAGAAAAAUAACUUUGUGGUCUUGGGAUAGAUAAAAUUUUCCUUUUUUUUUGUUUUAACUUUUAAUUUCCACUUAUUUUAGACUUAGAGAAAAGUUGCAAGAGUAGUACAGAGGGUUCUCAUAUACCCUUCAUUCUAGCGUUUAUCUUACAUAACCAAAGGAUAAUUAUCAAAACCAGGAAAUUAACAUUGGUACAAUACGAAAAAUUUGCACAUCUUAUUCAAAUAUGUUUUCCCAUUAAUGUCCUUUUUCUUUUCCAGGAUCCCACACAUUAAUCUACGUUGCAUUUAGCUGUUAUUUCUCUUUAGUCUCUUCCGAUCUCCUUAGACUUUCUUACUGCAUUAAUUUUCAGUUGCUACCAUAACCAAUUACCACGAAUUUAGCUUAAAACAACAUAAAUAUAUAAAAUCUCACAGUUUCCAUGGACCUGGAGUUUAGCUGGGUGCUGUCCUCAGGCUGGUCUCACAGGCUGCAAACGAGGGGUUACCUGGGCUGUGUUCUCCUCUGGAGUUCAACUGGGGGAGAAUUCAUUUCCAGGUUCAUUCAGAUUGUAGGGAGAAUUCAUUUCCCUGUGGCCAUACGACUGAGGGCCUCACCUUUUUGCUGACUGUUGGCUGGAGGUUGCCCUCAGGUUCUGCAGGCCACCUGCAGUUCCUUUGCAAGAUGGGCUUCUCCAACAUUGCCACUUACUUCAUCAAGCCCACAAAAGAAGUCCAAUCUGCUAUGAGUCUUAUAUGGUAUAACAUAAUCACAGUAGAGACAUCUCGUCACUUUUUUUUUUCAUAUGAUAGGUUUAUUUUUAUUAUUUUAAGGAACCUUCAUACUGUUUUACAUAAUGGCUAUACCAAUUGAUAUUGCCAUCAACAGUGUACAAGUGUUCCCUUUCCUCUACAUCCUCACCAACACUUAUCUAUUUUCUUUUCUUUUCUUUUUUUUUUUUGAGACGGAGUCUUGCUCUGUCACCCAGGCUGGAGUGCAGUGGCGCGAUCUCAGCUCACUGCAAGCUCCGCCUCCCGGGUUCACGCCAUUCUCCUGCCUCAGCCUCCCGAGUAGCUGGGACUACAGGCGCCUGCCACCGUGCCCGGCUAAUUAUUUUUGUAUUUUUAGUAGAGACGGGGUUUCACCGUGGUCUCAAUCUCCUGACCUCGUGAUCCGCCCGCCUCGGCCUCCCAAAGUGCUGGGAUUACAGGGGUGAGCCACCGCGCCCAGCCCACUUACCUACUUUCUUUUUAUAAUAGUCAUCCUAACAGGUAUUGUGGUAACAUCUCAUUGUGGUUUCAUUUGCAUUUGUCUGAUGUGCUUUUCAGGUACCACUUAACCAUUUGCGUGUCAUCUUUGGAAAAAAGUCUAUUCAAGUCCUUGCCCAUUUUUAAAUUGGAUUAUUGGUUUCUUUUUCUUCAAAAUUAAUUAAUUCAUUUUUAUUUUACUUUAAGUUCUGGGAUACAGGUGCAGAUGUGUAGGUUUUUUACAUAGGUAUAUAUGUGUCAUGGUGGUUUGCUGUACCUAUCAAUCUGACAUUUAGGUUUUAAGCCCCACAUGCAUUAGGUAAUUUGUCCAGUGCUCUCCCUCCCCUUGCCCCCCAACUCCCCGACAGGCUCCAGUGUGUGUUGUUCCUUUCCCUGUGCCAUGUGUUCUCAUUGUUCAACCCCCACUUAUGAGUGAGAACAUGUGGUGCUUGGUUUUCAGUUUCUGCAUUAGUUUGCUGAGAAUGAUGGCUUCCAGCUUCAUCCAUGUCCUUGCAGAGGACAUGAUUUCAUUCUUUUUUAUGGUUGCAUAGUAUUCCAUGGUGUAUAUGUGCCAUAUUUUCUUUAUCCAGUCUAUCACUGAUGGGCAUUUGGGUUGGUUCCAAGUCUGCAAUUGUAAAUAGUGCUGCAAUAAACAUACGUGUACAUGUGUCUUUAUAGUAGAAUGAUUUAGAAUCCUUUGGGUAUAUACCCAGUAAUGGGAGAUUCCUCAAGGAGCUAGAACCAGAAAUACCAUUUGACCCAUGACUUUUGCCAUAUAAAUUAACCUAAUGAGAGGAGUGACAUUUCCUGACCUUUGCCAUUUUCCACUGAUUAGAAGCAAGUCACCACCUCUGCUCAUACUCCAGGGGAGGGGACUAAACAAGGCUGUGGACUCCAGGAGGUGGGAAUCAUGGGGCCACCUAACAUCUGCCUGUCAUACCUAUCUUCAUGUCCUUUCAAUUUGGAAGAGUACCAAUAAUUUAUUCUGUCAAAUUUCCCCCCGCUGGGUUUGUAUGAUGUGUUUUUAUAACUGAAAUGAGGCAUGUAUUCUUGGCAGUGGCACAGUAAUGAUGCUGUGUCUUUCACAUUGCAUCAUCAUGUCCAAGGGUGCAUGAUAUCAAUGUUUUAUUACUGGUGACAUUAACCUUCAUCACUUGGUUAAAGUGUUUUCUCCUGUGUUUUCCUUCUGUACAUUACUACCUUCCCAUUUGUAGUUAAUAAACAUCUUGGGAGGGUAAUACUUUAACACUAUGCAAAUCCUCUUUCUCCUCAAACUUUCACCCACUAACUUUAGCAUCUCUUAUCUUGGUGUCCAAUGUGAGGAUACACUGCAGCUCCCCUAUGUACAUAAGUUCUGCUAAUAAACACUUUGAAUUGGUCACCCUGGUAUUGCUGUUUCUUUCUUUGGAAUCCCAACAGCCCCAUCCUGGGAUGGUUUGGGGCAGUCCCUUUAGGGAACUCCCCUGCCACUGCUUUUGGGGUGACUCCAGCUGAGUGUUCAGCAGGACAAAAUAAGGUUGUUUCUGGUAUUUGACUACUAUGAAUAAAACUUCUAUGAAC